UACGAAGGGGGCUAGCGUUGUUCGGAAUUACUGGGCGUAAAGCGCACGUAGGCGGAUCGAUCAGUCAGGGGUGAAAUUCCAGGGCUCAACCCUGGAACUGCCUUUGAUACUGUCGAUCUGGAGUAUGGAAGAGGUGAGUGGAAUUCCGAGUGUAGAGGUGAAAUUCGUAGAUAUUCGGAGGAACACCAGUGGCGAAGGCGGCUCACUGGUCCAUUACUGACGCUGAGGUGCGAAAGCGUGGGGAGCAAACAGG
RNAcentral lists this ribosomal RNA (253 nucleotides) under uncultured bacterium. RNAcentral describes it as "partial 16S ribosomal RNA". It matches the Rfam family "Bacterial small subunit ribosomal RNA", at positions 524 to 776 of the family's 1533-position model. The record is from RNAcentral.